This is a long non-coding RNA of Enhydra lutris kenyoni (northern sea otter), 1329 nucleotides long. RefSeq lists it as uncharacterized. The transcript has 2 exons. The record is from RefSeq and is a predicted model, not a curated record. NCBI's taxonomy places the organism in Eukaryota, Metazoa, Chordata, Mammalia, Carnivora, Mustelidae.
GGAAGAAGAUGGCAGGACAGAGGCUGAUGGUGGACCCCUCUGUGCCUGGUGCUCUCUGUUGGUCUCGUGGGACCUGCUGGCUGGGGGUCCCAUUCUGCACAUGGGGAAAUGGAAGUCCUCGGAGACAAAAAACAACACCCAGGGGCCAGAACGAGCACAUAUGAGCAGACUUCUUAGAGCAACGUUUAUAAAAGCCAAAGCCUGGAAACACCUGCACUGAAGUCCCCGAGUAGGGCUCAGUCGGACCUAUGACACAGCCUUCAGUAGCAUUAUCGGGUGUUUGUUAGAAAAAGAGCCGUCCACGUACAGCCACGACAGCUGCUUACAUGACAUUAAAUGAAGAAAAGCGAAGGACCCGUUGUGCACCGUGUGGACACACUUGAUUUCUGUGGCAGCUUCACACGGACGCACGCCGGGCACUGGCGGCCCCUGGAGACGCAGCCCCGACUUCCCUGUGCAGCUUCGACAGCAGCAUUGGUGGCUGAUGUCUUGGGCCUAAGUUCCCUGUGACCUUGGGACGCCUCCAGAGAGCCACGGCCGCCCCGGAGGAAGUUGCCUGCUGCCCUGUUCAGGGGAAGUCCGGCAUGGUGGGGGGAGGGGCUGCAGGCAGGGGAGACUGGGAUGACCCCAACUUUGAACUGAAGACUUCCUGGGGGGCAGCACCUCAGAACUGUUCAAAUAAUUGCACGGAGUCCCUUCAUUUCUACAGGGGGAGAAACCCAGGCCCAGAGAGGGAAAGUGAUGUGUCUGAGGUCACAGAGCAAGGUCAUGGUGGGGCUCAGCAGGCUCCCCAGGACCCUCUGGGCAGAACUCCAGAGCCUGUGCUGGGUGGGAGUGGACCAGGGCUGCACCCGCCUUCCCGCGUGCCUGUUUUCUUCUCCUUAGGGUCAUCUCCACUGUCCCUUUCCUCUCUCUUCCUCCUCCUUCUGCUUGGAACCCCCUCAGUUUGGUCUACAUACCCCCCGUCAGAGCAGAGGAACUCGGGGCGACUUGGUGAGCCCCCGGGUGAGGAUCUGGUUUGAUGCGUUCCCCUUGGACCCCUUGAACGUCCCCGUGUGUGCUGUGUGCACGUGUGCGGUGAUGGUGCGUGAGCGUGCACGUGUAUGUGAGCACACGCGUGCUGUGUGGUGGAGGAGACAAGGGUGACCCCCAGCCACAGGAGUGUUUGAAAUGCCCCAGACGCAGGGACAGCCCUAGGCUGCCGUGUCCCCGUUCUGCCGGCUGCCAGCGGGAGAUGUGUGUCCCCAGAGCCCGUCCCUCCCAGCAGAGCCUGGGACUCCGGGUUAAGAGAGGCAAGCUCUCAGAAAUAGUAAACCACCGUUUUCUCGC